RNAcentral lists this unclassified non-coding RNA (306 nucleotides) under Hevea brasiliensis (rubber tree). Lineage: Eukaryota; Viridiplantae; Streptophyta; Magnoliopsida; Malpighiales; Euphorbiaceae. The record is from RNAcentral.
UGUAAUCCUUGAGAGAUCCCAAUGUAUUCCACAAAUGCUUUCGAUAAUAAUCUAUCCUGAAUUCAUCCUGAAGUGCUUCCCCAAUGGGUUGGCUUUCGUUAUUGAGAUUAUCAACUCCUAUAAAUUAGUGUAUAUGAAACUUAAAAAAGAGAUCAAAGUAUAAAUAUAAUUUACUAGCCAAUAUUCCGACAUGAGAAAGACAUUGACCACUUACCAUUCUCUGUAAUGUAAAUUACUGGAUCAUUGUAUGUAUCUUUGGUGUAAUUCAAUAGAUGUCGGAUGCCUUUCGGGAAAAUAUAAAACCAA